Long non-coding RNA from Oncorhynchus keta (chum salmon), 345 nucleotides. RefSeq lists it as uncharacterized. The transcript is spliced from 3 exons. NCBI's taxonomy places the organism in Eukaryota, Metazoa, Chordata, Actinopteri, Salmoniformes, Salmonidae. The record is from RefSeq and is a predicted model, not a curated record.
GGUAUUUCAGAUCUAGGAGAGGUGUCUAGGUAUAGGAAAGGGUAUUUCAGAUCUAGGAGAGGUGUCUAGGUAUAGGAAAGGGUAUUUCAGAUCUAGGAGAGGUGUCUAGGUAUAGGAAAGGGUAUUUCAGAUCUAGGAGAGGUGUCUAGGUAUAGGAAAGGGUAUUUCAGAUCUAGGAGAGGUGUCUAGGUAUAGGAAAGGGUAUUUCAGAUCUAGGAGAGGUGUCUAGGUAUAGGAAAGGGUAUUUCAGAUCUAGGAGAGGUGUCUAGGUAUAGGAAAGGGUAUUUCAGAUCUAGGAGAGGUGUCUAGGUAUAGGAAAGGGUAUUUCAGAUCUAGGAGAGGUGU